AGCGGGGGAAAGCUUGCUUUCCUGCCGGCGAGUGGCGAACGGGUGAGUAAUACAUCGGAACGUGCCCUGUAGUGGGGGAUAACUAGUCGAAAGAUUAGCUAAUACCGCAUACGACCUGAGGGUGAAAGUGGGGGACCGCAAGGCCUCAUGCUAUAGGAGCGGCCGAUGUCUGAUUAGCUAGUUGGUGGGGUAAAGGCCUACCAAGGCGACGAUCAGUAGCUGGUCUGAGAGGACGAUCAGCCACACUGGGACUGAGACACGGCCCAGACUCCUACGGGAGGCAGCAGUGGGGAAUUUUGGACAAUGGGCGAAAGCCUGAUCCAGCAAUGCCGCGUGUGUGAAGAAGGCCUUCGGGUUGUAAAGCACUUUUGUCCGGAAAGAAAUGGCUCUGGUUAAUACCCGGAGUUGAUGACGGUACCGGAAGAAUAAGGACCGGCUAACUACGUGCCAGCAGCCGCGGUAAUACGUAGGGUCCAAGCGUUAAUCGGAAUUACUGGGCGUAAAGCGUGCGCAGGCGGUUGUGCAAGACCGAUGUGAAAUCCCCGGGCUUAACCUGGGAAUUGCAUUGGUGACUGCACGGCUAGA
This 585-nucleotide ribosomal RNA is filed under the name Ralstonia sp. HPC282. Its description in RNAcentral is "bacterial SSU rRNA". It matches the Rfam family "Bacterial small subunit ribosomal RNA", at positions 65 to 645 of the family's 1533-position model. The record is from RNAcentral. Lineage: Bacteria; Pseudomonadati; Pseudomonadota; Betaproteobacteria; Burkholderiales; Burkholderiaceae.